UACGGAGGGUGCAAGCGUUAUCCGGAUUCACUGGGUUUAAAGGGUGCGUAGGCGGGUUGGUAAGUCCGUGGUGAAAUCCCCAAGCUUAACUUGGGAACUGCCGUGGAUACUAUCAAUCUUGAAUAUCGUGGAGGUAAGCGGAAUAUGUCAUGUAGCGGUGAAAUGCUCAGAUAUGACAUAGAACACCAAUUGCGUAGGCAGCUUACUACACGAUCAUUGACGCUGAGGCACGAAAGCGUGGGGAGCAAACAGG
Molecule: ribosomal RNA, 253 nt
Filed under: uncultured bacterium
Lineage: Bacteria
Description: partial 16S ribosomal RNA
Rfam family: Bacterial small subunit ribosomal RNA
Source: RNAcentral